AGAGUUUGAUCAUGGCUCAGAUUGAACGCUGGCGGCAGGCCUAACACAUGCAAGUCGAACGGUAACAGGAAGCAGCUUGCUGCUUUGCUGACGAGUGGCGGACGGGUGAGUAAUGUCUGGGAAACUGCCUGAUGGAGGGGGAUAACUACUGGAAACGGUGGCUAAUACCGCAUAACGUCGCAAGACCAAAGAGGGGGACCUUCGGGCCUCUUGCCAUCAGAUGUGCCCAGAUGGGAUUAGCUGGUUGGUGAGGUAACGGCUCACCAAGGCGACGAUCCCUAGCUGGUCUGAGAGGAUGACCAGCCACACUGGAACUGAGACACGGUCCAGACUCCUACGGGAGGCAGCAGUGGGGAAUAUUGCACAAUGGGCGCAAGCCUGAUGCAGCCAUGCCGCGUGUAUGAAGAAGGCCUUCGGGUUGUAAAGUACUUUCAGCGGGGAGGAAGGUGUUGUGGUUAAUAACCACAGCAAUUGACGUUACCCGCAGAAGAAGCACCGGCUAACUCCGUGCCAGCAGCCGCGGUAAUACGGAGGGUGCAAGCGUUAAUCGGAAUUACUGGGCGUAAAGCGCACGCAGGCGGUCUGUCAAGUCGGAUGUGAAAUCCCCGGGCUCAACCUGGGAACUGCAUUCGAAACUGGCAGGCUUGAGUCUUGUAGAGGGGGGUAGAAUUCCAGGUGUAGCGGUGAAAUGCGUAGAGAUCUGGAGGAAUACCGGUGGCGAAGGCGGCCCCCUGGACAAAGACUGACGCUCAGGUGCGAAAGCGUGGGGAGCAAACAGGAUUAGAUACCCUGGUAGUCCACGCCGUAAACGAUGUCUACUUGGAGGUUGUGCCCUUGAGGCGUGGCUUCCGGAGCUAACGCGUUAAGUAGACCGCCUGGGGAGUACGGCCGCAAGGUUAAAACUCAAAUGAAUUGACGGGGGCCCGCACAAGCGGUGGAGCAUGUGGUUUAAUUCGAUGCAACGCGAAGAACCUUACCUGGUCUUGACAUCCACGGAAGUCUUCAGAGAUGAGAAUGUGCCUUCGGGAACCGUGAGACAGGUGCUGCAUGGCUGUCGUCAGCUCGUGUUGUGAAAUGUUGGGUUAAGUCCCGCAACGAGCGCAACCCUUAUCCUUUGUUGCCAGCGAUUAGGUCGGGAACUCAAAGGAGACUGCCAGUGAUAAACUGGAGGAAGGUGGGGAUGACGUCAAGUCAUCAUGGCCCUUACGACCAGGGCUACACACGUGCUACAAUGGCGCAUACAAAGAGAAGCGACCUCGCGAGAGCAAGCGGACCUCAUAAAGUGCGUCGUAGUCCGGAUUGGAGUCUGCAACUCGACUCCAUGAAGUCGGAAUCGCUAGUAAUCGUGGAUCAGAAUGCCACGGUGAAUACGUUCCCGGGCCUUGUACACACCGCCCGUCACACCAUGGGAGUGGGUUGCAAAAGAAGUAGGUAGCUUAACCUUCGGGAGGGCGCUUACCACUUUGUGAUUCAUGACUGGGGUGAAGUCGUAACAAGGUAACCGUAGGGGAACCUGCGGUUG
This 1522-nucleotide ribosomal RNA is filed under the name Salmonella enterica subsp. enterica serovar Derby. Its description in RNAcentral is "bacterial SSU rRNA". It matches the Rfam family "Bacterial small subunit ribosomal RNA". Lineage: Bacteria; Pseudomonadati; Pseudomonadota; Gammaproteobacteria; Enterobacterales; Enterobacteriaceae. The record is from RNAcentral.